GCCCAGGUGGCGAAAUUGGUAGACGCGCUAGAUUCAGGUUCUAGUGCCGAAAGGUGUGGAGGUUCGAGUCCUCUCCUGGGCACCA
This 85-nucleotide transfer RNA is filed under the name Burkholderiales bacterium. Its description in RNAcentral is "tRNA-Leu". It matches the Rfam family "tRNA". Rfam says of the family: Transfer RNA (tRNA) molecules are approximately 80 nucleotides in length. Their secondary structure includes four short double-helical elements and three loops (D, anti-codon, and T loops). Further hydrogen bonds mediate the characteristic L-shaped molecular structure. tRNAs have two regions of fundamental functional importance: the anti-codon, which is responsible for specific mRNA codon recognition, and the 3' end, to which the tRNAs corresponding amino acid is attached (by aminoacyl-tRNA synthetases). tRNAs cope with the degeneracy of the genetic code in two manners: having more than one tRNA (with a specific anti-codon) for a particular amino acid; and 'wobble' base-pairing, i.e. permitting non-standard base-pairing at the 3rd anti-codon position. RNAcentral also lists the same sequence under 2 other names. The record is from RNAcentral. Lineage: Bacteria; Pseudomonadati; Pseudomonadota; Betaproteobacteria; Burkholderiales.